Molecule: unclassified non-coding RNA, 150 nt
Filed under: Oryza sativa (Asian cultivated rice)
Lineage: Eukaryota; Viridiplantae; Streptophyta; Magnoliopsida; Poales; Poaceae
Description: partial microRNA MIR468j-3-as precursor
Source: RNAcentral
AGAUUCGUUGUACUAGAAUGUGUUAACCUAGUACUGGAUAUGACACAUUCUAUUACUACGAAUCUGAAUAUACAUUUGUCCAGAUUCGUUGUACUAGAAUGUGUCACAUCCAGUCAUAGAUUUGUUUUUUAGGAUGGAGGGAGUAGUUGU